Long non-coding RNA from Eurytemora carolleeae, 667 nucleotides. RefSeq lists it as uncharacterized. The transcript is spliced from 3 exons. Lineage: Eukaryota; Metazoa; Arthropoda; Copepoda; Calanoida; Temoridae. The record is from RefSeq and is a predicted model, not a curated record.
UGGACGGUCAGUCUCCUGUAUAAAACUAUCUUCCUGGAGUAGAAUUCUCAGUUAAGAACGAUCUAUCAGACUAGAAACAUCUAGACAUUUAAAUAAUCCAAGAUGCACAACGUAGCAAUUGCCGCAGUGAGAACCACUAUUGAUGUCUGUGAUCUUGUGCUCGUUUCAAUCUCAAGAACGAGAGCGCUGACAGACAAGGUGAGAAAAACCUCGGAAGAGAGUAUAAAUAAAUUAAAUACGAAAAUAUGCAGACAAAGAAAAAUUUCCAAAACCAACCAGGGAAAAGCGCAUUUAUAACUAUUGUAGAGAUUAUUUAAUAUUUGUAAACUUUAUAUUUUAUAUUUAUUGUAAUAUGUAUUGAAGCAAAGCCAGGUUUUGAAAAAUGAUUUUAAGAAAUCUUUAAAAGAAUAUUAAUUGAAAAGUUUUCUAUUAAAGAUUUCGAUAAUUCUUUCAAAUUGUUUUCAAAACUGAGUUUCGUGGAUUUUGUCAAAACUUUCUGGUUUUAGUUUAGUUUAAGAAGAGAGCUGCUAAUUGCACCUGAUUGUUGUAACAUUGGACACCUGGUCCAAAACCUUGUACCUUAAUAUUCUUGCUCAAAAGCAGUUCUCAAUCCUAACUGUAUAUGUAUAUGUAAUAUAAACCAGAAAAUAAAUUGAAUGUCAUCAAA